Molecule: ribosomal RNA, 259 nt
Filed under: uncultured prokaryote
Description: partial 16S ribosomal RNA
Rfam family: Bacterial small subunit ribosomal RNA
Source: RNAcentral
UACGUAGGUGGCAAGCGUUGUCCGGAUUUACUGGGCGUAAAGGGUGAGUAGGCGGUCUGUUAAGUUAUAGGUGAAAUCUCACGGCUCAACCGUGAAACUGCCUCUGAUACUGGCGGGCUAGAGAGAGGUUGCUGUUGGCGGAAUGUGUGGUGUAGCGGUGAAAUGCUUAGAGAUCACACAGAACACCGAUUGCGAAGGCAGCUAACAAAGCCUUUUCUGACGCUGAGGCACGAAAGCGUGGGGAGCAAACAGGAUUAGA